UAUAUUAUGAUGGUAGUCC
Molecule: non-coding RNA, 19 nt
Filed under: Arabidopsis thaliana (thale cress)
Lineage: Eukaryota; Viridiplantae; Streptophyta; Magnoliopsida; Brassicales; Brassicaceae
Source: RNAcentral